Molecule: small RNA, 62 nt
Filed under: Xanthomonas oryzae pv. oryzae
Lineage: Bacteria; Pseudomonadati; Pseudomonadota; Gammaproteobacteria; Lysobacterales; Lysobacteraceae
Description: sX9
Rfam family: Xanthomonas sRNA sX9
Source: RNAcentral
ACUGCGGUUCUGAGCGCGCCGUCCGCGCCCACCUGACAGCUGCUCGCGACGUUGUGUUAACC